RNAcentral lists this ribosomal RNA (499 nucleotides) under uncultured bacterium. Its description in RNAcentral is "partial 16S ribosomal RNA". It matches the Rfam family "Bacterial small subunit ribosomal RNA", at positions 28 to 507 of the family's 1533-position model. The record is from RNAcentral.
GACGAACGCUGGCGGCGUGCCUAAUACAUGCAAGUCGAGCGGACCAACCAGGAGCUUGCUCUUGUUUGGUUAGCGGCGGACGGGUGAGUAACACGUGGGUAACCUGCCCGUAAGACCGGGAUAACUCCGGGAAACCGGAGCUAAUACCGGAUAACACCGAAGACCGCAUGGUCUUUGGUUGAAAGGCGGCUUCGGCUGCCACUUACGGAUGGGCCCGCGGCGCAUUAGCUAGUUGGUGAGGUAACGGCUCCCCAAGGCGACGAUGCGUAGCCGGCCUGGGAGGGUGACCGGCCACACUGGGAAUGAGACACGGCCCAGACUCCUACGGGAGGCAGCAGUAGGGAAUCUUCCGCAAUGGACGAAAGUCUGACGGAGCGACGCCGCGUGAGCGAAGAAGGUCUUCGGAUCGUAAAGCUCUGUUGUUAGGGAAGAAGAAGCGCCGUUCGAACAGGGCGGCGCGGUGACGGUACCUAACGAGAAAGCCCCGGCUAACUACGUG